This 369-nucleotide ribosomal RNA is filed under the name uncultured organism. RNAcentral's name for it is "bacterial SSU rRNA". It matches the Rfam family "Bacterial small subunit ribosomal RNA", at positions 526 to 896 of the family's 1533-position model. The record is from RNAcentral.
CGUAGGUGGCAAGCGUUGUCCGGAUUUAUUGGGUUUAAAAGGGUGCGUAGGCGGCCCUGUAAGUCAGUGCUGAAAUAUCCCAGCUUAACUGGGAGGGUGGCAUUGAUACUGCGGGGCUAGAGUACAGAUGAGGUAGGCGGAAUUGACGGUGUAGCGGUGAAAUGCUUAGAUAUCGUCAAGAACACCUAUAGCGAAGGCAGCUUACUAGGCUGUAACUGACGCUGAGGCACGAAAGUGUGGGGAUCAAACAGGAUUAGAUACCCUGGUAGUCCACACUGUAAACGUUGAUUACUCGCUGUGUGCGAUAUACAGUACGCGGCCAAGCGAAAGCGCUAAGUAAUCCACCUGGGGAGUACGCCGGCAACGGUG